Molecule: long non-coding RNA, 1316 nt
Organism: Sinocyclocheilus grahami
Lineage: Eukaryota; Metazoa; Chordata; Actinopteri; Cypriniformes; Cyprinidae
Exons: 2
Source: RefSeq, a predicted model, not a curated record
GGAGCGUCUGGGCAUCCUGACCGGCGCGCAGCUCUUCUCUCUGAAUAAAGAUCAUCUGAAGGCUGUGUGUGGAGACGAGGGAUCUCGCGUCUUCAGCCAGAUCACCGUCCAGAAAUCACAACUAGAGAAGAGUCGAGGAGAUACAGAACUGCAAGAGAUUCUGACUAAACAACAAGAGAAAAUUUCAUCUGCCCCCUAAACACGCUCACACAGACUGUCAAUCAAACAGUCACCUGGUAACAGUAACCGUCAACCAAACCCACCAAUGAAAUUCAGCCACACCGUCGACCAAACGUCUAAUCCAAUAUAUUUUUUAGUUGUGUAUUUAUUGUUGGUGCUUUUUAUUAGUGCAUGUACGGACCUUAUUGUAAUUUAUCCGCAUACGUUAUCUGGUUCAUGCUGGAAAAUACUUACUACUCUUUAUUGCAUGAAAACAAUGUAUAGGUGAAUCUCAUGAAAACAUGUACAGGUCAUGCUUCAAAAUUAAAAGAAAAAUGAACGAUAAAAAUAAAGGACUAUAAAGAUUUUAUUUUUGCGUUUUCAUGUAAUUUUAACCACAAUUGCUCAAAGUAGACUUUUUCUUUAGUUUUUAUGUAAUUCUCAAUUAUUAAAUAGCAUGUAUGAACUUGUCACCUCAAAAUCCAAAGAAAAAUUAUGAAAGAAAAUUGACUAUUUUAGGACCCUUUUUUGUUAUUUUUGCAUUUCCGUGUCAUUUUAUCCACAGCUUCUCAAAUGCACACAUUUUGAGUUUGUCAUUUUUGAUGAUUCUUGUUUUAAGCAGAGGUGAAAUGCAAUAUGUAUAGUGCAAAAAUGUAAAUUUAAGCAAAAUACACAUCUUUCUUGUAGUGGUUCAGUGUGACUCGUACAUGUUGACAGGUGAGAUUCACCCGUGUCUGAGCGGAGUGAAUGUUUUCUGGGGUUUGAUCUGUGACAUUGGUUUUUGAAAGAAACAAAUGUAAAUAAUGUGCUAAAUUCAGUCGCAUCAUGCAUGUUUCUGAUGCUGAUCAUUAUAUCAAAUGAAUGAAGCGAGAACAGUACAUUUAUCAGCUGGAUUCAUGCACGUCUUUUUUUUUAUUUGUAUAAAGCGCAUUUAGAGACUUUGAUCUUACAGUAUGUGGUUUAAUCACAAUAGAGACACUUUAAAAAGACACACAGAUGAGAUUUAAUCAGUUUAAUCAGAUAACAAUUGUAGGAAAUCAAAUUAAAUGUCAUAUUAAACCGGAAGUAGUAUUAUCCUCUGCUAGUUUCUCCAAAUGUUAUUUAUAAAAACCAAAUCACUGUAUUGUAAAUUUCAGAAAUAAAGUGACUACUAAAAA